AUUGAACGCUGGCGGCAGGCCUAACACAUGCAAGUCGAGCGGAUGAAGGGAGCUUGCUCCUGGAUUCAGCGGCGGACGGGUGAGUAAUGCCUAGGAAUCUGCCUGGUAGUGGGGGAUAACGUCCGGAAACGGGCGCUAAUACCGCAUACGUCCUGAGGGAGAAAGUGGGGGAUCUUCGGACCUCACGCUAUCAGAUGAGCCUAGGUCGGAUUAGCUAGUUGGUGGGGUAAAGGCCUACCAAGGCGACGAUCCGUAACUGGUCUGAGAGGAUGAUCAGUCACACUGGAACUGAGACACGGUCCAGACUCCUACGGGAGGCAGCAUGGGGAAUAUUGGACAAUGGGCGAAAGCCUGAUCCAGCCAUGCCGCGUGUGUGCAGAAGGUCUUCGGAUUGUAAAGCACUUUAAGUUGGGAGGAAGGGCAGUAAGUUAAUACCUUGCUGUUUUGACGUUACCAACAGAAUAAGCACCGGCUAACUUCGUG
This 483-nucleotide ribosomal RNA is filed under the name uncultured bacterium. RNAcentral's name for it is "partial 16S ribosomal RNA". It matches the Rfam family "Bacterial small subunit ribosomal RNA", at positions 30 to 507 of the family's 1533-position model. The record is from RNAcentral.